This 460-nucleotide ribosomal RNA is filed under the name uncultured bacterium. Its description in RNAcentral is "partial 16S ribosomal RNA". It matches the Rfam family "Bacterial small subunit ribosomal RNA", at positions 338 to 795 of the family's 1533-position model. The record is from RNAcentral.
CCUACGGGAGGCAGCAGUGAGGAAUAUUGGUCAAUGGGCGCGAGCCUGAACCAGCCAAGUAGCGUGAAGGAUGGCUGCCCUACGGGUUGUAAACUUCUUUUAUAAAGGAAUAAAGUGAGGCACGUGUGACUUUUUGUAUGUACUUUAUGAAUAAGGAUCGGCUAAAUCCGUGACAGCAGCCGCGGUACUACGGAUGAUCCGAGUGUUAUCCGGAUUUAUUGGGUUUAAAGGGAGCGUAGAUGGGUUGUUAAGUCAGUUGUGAAAGUUUGCGGCUCAACCGGAAAAUUGCAAUUGAUACUGGCAGCCGUGAGUACAGUUGAGGUAAGCGGAAUUCGUGGUGUAGCGGUGAAAUGCUUAGAUAUCACGAAGAACUCCGAUUGCGAAGGCAGCCUACUAAACUGCCACUGACAUUGAUGCUCGAAAGUGUGGGUAUCAAACAGGAUUAGAUACCCCUGUAGUC